UGGGGAAUUUUGGACAAUGGGGCAACGCUGAUCCAGCAAUGCCGCGUGUGUGAAGAAGGCCUUCGGGUUGUAAAGCACUUUUGUCCGGAAAGAAAUCCUUGGCUCUAAUACAGUCGGGGGAUGACGGUACCGGAAGAAUAAGCACCGGCUAACUACGUGCCAGCAGCCGCGGUAAUACGUAGGGUGCAAGCGUUAAUCGGAAUUACUGGGCGUAAAGCGUGCGCAGGCGGUUUGCUAAGACCGAUGUGAAAUCCCCGGGCUCAACCUGGGAACUGCAUUGGUGACUGGCAGGCUAGAGUAUGGCAGAGGGGGGUAGAAUUCCACGUGUAGCAGUGAAAUGCGUAGAGAUGUGGAGGAAUACCGAUGGCGAAGGCAGCCCCCUGGGGCCAAUACUGACGCUCAUGCACGAAAGCGUGGGGGAGCAAAACAGGAUUAGAUACCCCUGGGUAGUUCCACGCCCUAAACGAUGUCAACUGUUGUUGGGGGAUUCAUUCCUUAGUAACGUAGCUAACGCGUGAAGUUGACCGCCUGGGGGAG
RNAcentral lists this ribosomal RNA (537 nucleotides) under uncultured bacterium. RNAcentral's name for it is "partial 16S ribosomal RNA". It matches the Rfam family "Bacterial small subunit ribosomal RNA", at positions 355 to 881 of the family's 1533-position model. The record is from RNAcentral.